RNAcentral lists this long non-coding RNA (651 nucleotides) under Marmota monax (woodchuck). Lineage: Eukaryota; Metazoa; Chordata; Mammalia; Rodentia; Sciuridae. The record is from RNAcentral.
AUUAAGUAUCUUGUUCCACCAUUUGUGUUACAGAUAAGCCUAAGGAAAAGAAACAACUUAGGGGAUAACAUACAGAAAGUGAAUAACCUAGUGAUUUAUUACCUUUGUUUAUGCUUUCUUCUUGGGAAAUGCCUUCCUUUCCUUGGCUUUAAGUAUCCACAGAUAAAAUUUUGCCUUUUUCCAGCAUCCCAUUCUAUGUAUCUCAACUGCCUACUUCACAUUUCAACAUUAUUUGUUUUGGAGUACCAGGGAUUGAACCCAGGGGCACUUACCACUGAGCCACAUCCCCACUUCUUUUUAUUUUUUGUUUUGAAACAGCAUCUCACUGAAUUGCUUAGGGUCUUACUAAAUUUCUGAAGCUGGCUUUGAACAUGCCAUCCUGCCUCAGCCUCCCCAGCCACUGGGAUUAUAGGCAUGCACCACACACCCAGCAUCCACUUUGAUUUCUAAUAGGUAUCUCAAACCCAGCAUAUCUAAAUCAUAACUCUUGAUACCCCACUGCCAACCCUAUCUGCUUCUUUAAUCUUUCACUUAAAUGUACCUGCUGCCCUUACCAACUUCCUUUUGUUUGGCACCUCUCCCAGUCUCUGAAAUCUAGUUCUACUAGUUGAUCGCACACCUUUGCACAUACUGUUACUGUGACCUGGAAUG